This 250-nucleotide ribosomal RNA is filed under the name uncultured bacterium. Its description in RNAcentral is "partial 16S ribosomal RNA". It matches the Rfam family "Bacterial small subunit ribosomal RNA", at positions 524 to 773 of the family's 1533-position model. The record is from RNAcentral.
UACGGGGGGUGCGAGCGUUGUCCGGAAUCACUGGGCGUAAAGGGCGCGUAGGUGGCCUUGUAAGUCGAUGGUGAAAGCCCGGGGCUCAACCCCGGGUCUGCCGUCGAUACUGUGAGGCUUGAGUGUUGUAGAGGCUGGUAGAAUGUCUGGUGUAGCGGUGGAAUGCGUAGAGAUCAGACAGAAGACCGGUGGCGAAGGCGGCCAGCUGGGCAAUAACUGACACUGAGGCGCGACAGCGUGGGGAGCAAAC